RNAcentral lists this ribosomal RNA (253 nucleotides) under uncultured bacterium. Its description in RNAcentral is "partial 16S ribosomal RNA". It matches the Rfam family "Bacterial small subunit ribosomal RNA", at positions 524 to 776 of the family's 1533-position model. The record is from RNAcentral.
UACGUAGGGUGCGAGCGUUAAUCGGAAUUACUGGGCGUAAAGCGUGCGCAGGCGGUUUUACAAGACAGCUGUGAAAUCCCCCGGCUCAACCUGGGAAUUGCAUUUGUGACUGUAAAGCUAGAGUACGGUAGAGGGGGAUGGAAUUCCGCGUGUAGCAGUGAAAUGCGUAGAUAUGCGGAGGAACACCGAUGGCGAAGGCAAUCCCCUGGGCCUGUACUGACGCUCAUGCACGAAAGCGUGGGGAGCAAACAGG